GAUGAAGAACGUAGUGAAAUGCGAUAAGUAGUGUGAAUUGCAGAAUUCAGUGAAUCAUCGAAUAUUUGAACGCACAUUGCGCCCUUUGGUAUUCCUUAGGGCAUGCCUGUUCGAGCGUCAUUUAAACCUUCAAGCCCUGCUUGGUGUUGGGUGCCUGUCCCGCCCCCGCGCGUGGACUCACCUCAAAUCCAUUGGCGGCCCCCGCAAGGCCACGAGCGCAGCAGAAACGCAAACUCGUGUGCCCGGCGGGCGGCUCCCAGAAGCUACACCCACCAUUUUGACCUCGGAUCAGGUAGGGAUACCCGCUGAACUUAAGCAUAUCAAUAAGCGGAGGA
Molecule: unclassified non-coding RNA, 335 nt
Filed under: soil metagenome
Description: partial contains 5.8S ribosomal RNA, internal transcribed spacer 2, and large subunit ribosomal RNA
Rfam family: 5.8S ribosomal RNA (bases 1-120)
Source: RNAcentral